RNAcentral lists this long non-coding RNA (579 nucleotides) under Crocodylus porosus (Australian saltwater crocodile). RNAcentral describes it as "lncRNA (ENSCPRG00005007363.1)". The record is from RNAcentral. Lineage: Eukaryota; Metazoa; Chordata; Crocodylia; Crocodylidae.
UUUUGAAGUCUGGCUCUCCCCGAGGGAAGCUGUGCUGGGAGCCAGGAGAGACUCCAGGAAGAUAUUGCACUACUGCAAAACACAAACACGUGUAAUCAUAAAAUGCAGCCCUGGGAAAUAGAAUAUGAUCAUCUCAGACUUAACAUUGUGGACAAUGGGAGACAGAUACUGCCUCUCCCUCUGCAUGAGAAAUCUUGUGUUCCCAAGCAAGUCUGGCAGGCACUUGCAGCUGUCAUCUAGGAAACACCUCAUGUGUGUAGCCUGCAGAGGUGGCCACUAAAGGAGCUGCCUCUCUAACCUGGGACAACUCAUCCAGGCUCAGAUCUUCAAAGUCAAUGCCAGAAAUGUACCUGAAUGACUCUGAUAGUCUAUGUCUCAUCCUUAACCUGAAGAAAACAGCAUAUUCCUGUCUUAGAGAUGAUGUAGGCCAGAUGCAUUAAGGAACCAGGAGCUGAUCAAAUAUUGCAGCAAUGGAGACGGACUUUCAGCAUGUACUUUGAAAAGCCCAGCCAAAAAAAUUAAUUCCUGUUUUCAUGCAAAUGUCCUUGGUGAUUAAAAAUAAAAGAUGGAGACAGUACA